AACGAACGCUGGCGGCGUGCCUAACACAUGCAAGUCGAGCGAGUAGAUCCCUUCGGGGUGAAGCUAGCGGCGGACGGGUGAGUAACACGUGGGCAACCUGCCUCAUAGAGGGGAAUAGCCUUCCGAAAGGAAGAUUAAUACCGCAUAAGAUUGUAGUACCGCAUGGUAUAGCAAUUAAGGGAGUAAUCCGCUAUGAGAUGGGCCCGCGGCGCAUUAGCUAGUUGGUGAGGUAACGGCUCACCAAGGCGACGAUGCGUAGCCGACCUGAGAGGGUGAUCGGCCACAUUGGGACUGAGACACGGCCCAGACUCCUACGGGAGGCAGCAGUGGGGAAUAUUGCACAAUGGGGGAAACCCUGAUGCAGCAAUGCCGCGUGAGUGAUGACGGCCUUCGGGUUGUAAAGCUCUGUCUUCGGGGACGAUAAUGACGGUACCCGAGGAGGAAGCCACGGCUAACUACGUGCCAGCAGCCGCGGUAA
RNAcentral lists this ribosomal RNA (478 nucleotides) under uncultured bacterium. RNAcentral's name for it is "partial 16S ribosomal RNA". It matches the Rfam family "Bacterial small subunit ribosomal RNA", at positions 29 to 523 of the family's 1533-position model. The record is from RNAcentral.